UCAUCCUGGCCCGUUGCGGUAGACCGCGCA
This 30-nucleotide small RNA is filed under the name Bombyx mori (domestic silkworm). RNAcentral describes it as "ovarian small RNA-7058". Lineage: Eukaryota; Metazoa; Arthropoda; Insecta; Lepidoptera; Bombycidae. The record is from RNAcentral.